This 460-nucleotide ribosomal RNA is filed under the name uncultured Ferruginibacter sp. RNAcentral's name for it is "partial 16S ribosomal RNA". Lineage: Bacteria; Pseudomonadati; Bacteroidota; Chitinophagia; Chitinophagales; Chitinophagaceae. The record is from RNAcentral.
GACUACUGGGGUAUCUAAUCCUGUUUGAUCCCCACGCUUUCGUGCCUCAGUGUCAAUGACUCCGUAGUAAGCUGCCUUCGCAAUUGGUGUUCUAUGUCAUAUCUAAGCAUUUCACCGCUACAUGACAUAUUCCGCUUACCUCCAGAGUAUUCAAGACAGAUAGUAUCAAUGGCAGUUUCCGGGUUAAGCCCGGAGAUUUCACCACUGACUUAACUGCCCACCUACGCACCCUUUAAACCCAGUGAAUCCGGAUAACGCUUGCACCCUCCGUAUUACCGCGGCUGCUGGCACGGAGUUAGCCGGUGCUUAUUCCUCUGGUACCGUCAAGUGGGAAAGAAUUCCCUUUUUUCGUCCCAGAUAAAAGAAGUUUACAAUCCAGAGGACCUUCAUCCUUCACGCGGCAUGGCUGGUUCAGACUUUCGUCCAUUGACCAAUAUUCCUUACUGCAGCCCCCCGUAGG